RNAcentral lists this ribosomal RNA (710 nucleotides) under Enterococcus sp. RNAcentral's name for it is "bacterial SSU rRNA". It matches the Rfam family "Bacterial small subunit ribosomal RNA", at positions 781 to 1490 of the family's 1533-position model. Lineage: Bacteria; Bacillati; Bacillota; Bacilli; Lactobacillales; Enterococcaceae. The record is from RNAcentral.
GAUACCCUGGUAGUCCACGCCGUAAACGAUGAGUGCUAAGUGUUGGAGGGUUUCCGCCCUUCAGUGCUGCAGCAAACGCAUUAAGCACUCCGCCUGGGGAGUACGACCGCAAGGUUGAAACUCAAAGGAAUUGACGGGGGCCCGCACAAGCGGUGGAGCAUGUGGUUUAAUUCGAAGCAACGCGAAGAACCUUACCAGGUCUUGACAUCCUUUGACCACUCUAGAGAUAGAGCUUUCCCUUCGGGGACAAAGUGACAGGUGGUGCAUGGUUGUCGUCAGCUCGUGUCGUGAGAUGUUGGGUUAAGUCCCGCAACGAGCGCAACCCUUAUUGUUAGUUGCCAUCAUUUAGUUGGGCACUCUAGCGAGACUGCCGGUGACAAACCGGAGGAAGGUGGGGAUGACGUCAAAUCAUCAUGCCCCUUAUGACCUGGGCUACACACGUGCUACAAUGGGAAGUACAACGAGUCGCUAGACCGCGAGGUCAUGCAAAUCUCUUAAAGCUUCUCUCAGUUCGGAUUGCAGGCUGCAACUCGCCUGCAUGAAGCCGGAAUCGCUAGUAAUCGCGGAUCAGCACGCCGCGGUGAAUACGUUCCCGGGCCUUGUACACACCGCCCGUCACACCACGAGAGUUUGUAACACCCGAAGUCGGUGAGGUAACCUUUUUGGAGCCAGCCGCCUAAGGUGGGAUAGAUGAUUGGGGUGAAGUCNUA